AAAAACAACAACAGAAAGAUGGACGUGUCUGUGGCGUGCUGGAGCAUUACGGAUAUGACCGGAACAAAUGAGGGAUGUGUGUGUAUGUAUGUAUGUAUGUGUAUAUAUAUAUAUAUAUAUAUAUACAUAUAUAUAUAUAUAUGAGACCUCAGCUCUGCCAUCACAGUCUGUGGACCGUAAAUGGCCUUCUGUUUCCACAUGGGCGAAGGGAGCAUCAUGGCAGUUGACUUUACAAAGAAAACAAAAGAACUAACAUUGCCUUGAUGCUCUCACUAUGCACUUUUCACAUACUCAAAACUGUGAGGACCCUGUGUGGACGUAAAGAGGAAGAAAGGGGGCGCUGUUUAGACGCUUCAAAUUCAACUGAAGCCCCUUCAUCAAGAAUAUAAACUAGCAAGACAGCAAGAACAGUAGUACAUCUCUUUUUCACUCCUGUGUACAUGUACAUAGAUAAUGCUGUUUUGUUUUUUUGUUUGUUUUUUUUUUCUCCACUAACUCUCAGCCAUUCUUGGGACUGAACUUAAGCUUGAUUACACACCAAUGAAGGAGGCUAAGGAGACAUCAGAUACUCUGAAUGUUGAGGAAUAACAGCUCAGCUCCUUGUUUGGAAUUGUGAACUACACAAUUAAACUCCAGCCAUUCAGAGAUUUCUCACUUAGACACAGAGCUGUCUGAAAGUUGAUGAACUGCUUGAUUCUGGGUGCUAGAACACAAACACAAAAAAAGAUUUCAUCGGAGGCUGGAGUUGAAAGUGAAAUUCUGGGGAUUGUUCCCUUAAAUGGUCAAGAUAUGGCCUUGGAAGAGGACUAGAGGAUGAAUGGUUGAGAUGAUGAAACUAGUUAUAAUGACUGCCUGCUGCACAGCUGUGGAUUAAUUUCAGCACGGAGUCGCCUGUGACUGCAUCGACAGAACUGUCCAUUUGACCAGUAUUCCAGAGCUUCUAAAGAGGAUGUUGACCAGCUGUAUUCUCGUUUUUCUCUCUCUCUCUCUCUCUCUCUCUCUCUCUCUCUCUCUCUCUCUCUCUCUCUCUCUCUCUAACACAUUCACUUGCGAAGAUUUAAAAGGAAGACCACUGAUGUUACAUGUCCAUAGAUGAGGAGGGUUACUCGCUCUUCUACCAUGGCACUACUUUCCAGGAACAGCUACUGAAUGAAAACAGGAAGAUGGGCUCUUCUGGAGGUGACUUCAAGAAGACAGAAGACUCUGGAUACUGGAACUGUGGAACUAUGGUAGUUAAAACCUGUACAGACUAGUAAACCACCUGUACGGCCGGGCCCUGCUGCAUACAUGGCCAGGCAUGUUCAGCAUACAUGCAGCAUGAUCAUCAAAUACUAUCACACACAAAGCAACUUGCAUCAACUGCUGUCUUGACUGAACCUUAUUCAAACACAAACAACUACAAAUAUAUACAGAGACUCCGUACCCAUGGCAAGUGGCUGCCCUGUAAACUGUGUAUACAUGACUUCUGCUUUUUCUUUUUUUUCUGUUGGGUGUGGUGAUUUUUUUUUUUUCUUUCUUUUGACAUGCCUUAACUGUACAGACAAGCCUGUACUUAAAGAUUGAAAAAUGUGUUGACCAUGCUUAGUUCAAUAUUCUUUUACUUCAACACUGAACUUAAAGGCUUUUUCAUGAAUUCUCUAUCAAAAGCUUUGGGUGAUGAUGUGUAUCUGGAAAACAAACCCCAUUUGAGCGCUAAAUUUAACUUGCUGCAUCAGGUUACACUCAAUCUGGCUAAUUGUGACACUUAAUACUAUGUGACAUGGCAUUGCACCACUGCAGAACCAUAUGUGUCCUUUUAAAAUGUGUAUUGGAAUUGAUAGAUUAUGAAGUGUAAUUAACUUUUAGAGGCCCUUAAGCCUACUUGUACUUGUGCACUACUGUGGAAGUAAGUACAAGUAUUUUCAGUUGUAUAACGAGAUUUUGAGCAUGCAUACAGGUUUUUACAGUGUGGCAGUUCCCUUAAGCAGAAGUCUACUAUGUUUCUGUAGCUGACCGAGUGGGACUGUCUGCUUUUUAAAUUCUCUCUAACUCAGACAUUUGGUUGUGGAUGUGAUAAUGGGGCUCAUAGGUAUACAGUCUCCUUUUACAGUGGCAAAAUAUUUAAACCAGGCAGUUUAACAAUGAUAGUAAUAGAGAUUAUCAGAUUAUCAGGAGUGAGUGGUCCUAUUAGCUACCACAGAUUACUUACAUGUUCUGCGACAAAAAAGAUGCAGGUCUUUGCAGACCGUGUGGUCCCCAUGUUGACUGUGGGCUUUAUAAGAAUGUGAACAAAACCUGUUAUCCAAACCGUACACUGAGUAACGAUAGUGACUGUAGGAAUAUCUGGAGUUUCCCAAAUACAUUUCAUGUCCUUCAUUUUUUUUGAUAUACGAAGGGAGAAGUAUAUAUCAGUAUUGAAUCUACUAUCUUCAUGCCACUCGCAUGUUAAAGCAUAACUUUAGUGGAGAUGAGACAAUGUUCAUUUGCCUUUUCAUUGUUACCUGUCAGCUUAGCCCUGUAGCUAAACUUUUAAAUGAGUCAGAUAUAACUUUUUUGAAAUCAUAUUGAAAAUGUUAGCGACAAAGUAAUAAUGUCCUGAUUAAUCAGAGUGUAAAUAGUUUGGGGUUUUUGUUUGUUUGAAAAUGACGAAGAAUACUAAAUAAACGCUUAUUAUUAAGGCCA
Long non-coding RNA from Colossoma macropomum (tambaqui), 2661 nucleotides. RefSeq lists it as uncharacterized. The record is from RefSeq and is a predicted model, not a curated record. The transcript has 2 exons. Lineage: Eukaryota; Metazoa; Chordata; Actinopteri; Characiformes; Serrasalmidae.